RNAcentral lists this ribosomal RNA (254 nucleotides) under uncultured bacterium. Its description in RNAcentral is "partial 16S ribosomal RNA". It matches the Rfam family "Bacterial small subunit ribosomal RNA", at positions 524 to 776 of the family's 1533-position model. The record is from RNAcentral.
UACGUAGGGUGCAAGCGUUGUCCGGAAUUAUUGGGCGUAAAGAGCUCGUAGGCGGUGUGUCGCGUCGGCCGUGAAAACCUGCAGCUUAACUGUGGGCUUGCGGUCGAUACGGGCAUCACUGGAGUUCGGCAGGGGAGACUGGAAUUCCUGGUGUAGCGGUGAAAUGCGCAGAUAUCAGGAGGAACACCGGUGGCGAAGGCGGGUCUCUGGGCAACUACUGACGCUGAGGAGCGAAAGCGUGGGGAGCGAACAGG